GACGAACGCUGGCGGCGUGCUUAACACAUGCAAGUCGAACGGUGAACCACUUCGGUGGGGAUCAGUGGCGAACGGGUGAGUAACACGUGGGCAACCUGCCCCCAGCUCUGGGAUAACUCCAAGAAAUUGGUGCUAAUACCGGAUGUGACCGCUGACCGCAUGGUCUGGUGGUGGAAAGAUUCAUCGGCUGGGGAUGGGCCCGCGGCCUAUCAGCUUGUUGGUGGGGUGAUGGCCUACCAAGGCGACGACGGGUAGCCGGCCUGAGAGGGUGACCGGCCACACUGGGACUGAGACACGGCCCAGACUCCUACGGGAGGCAGCAGUGGGGAAUAUUGCGCAAUGGGCGAAAGCCUGACGCAGCGACGCCGCGUGAGGGAUGACGGCCU
This 386-nucleotide ribosomal RNA is filed under the name uncultured bacterium. RNAcentral describes it as "bacterial SSU rRNA". It matches the Rfam family "Bacterial small subunit ribosomal RNA", at positions 28 to 417 of the family's 1533-position model. The record is from RNAcentral.